UACGAAGGGGGCUAGCGUUGUUCGGAAUUACUGGGCGUAAAGCGCGCGCAGGUGGUCCUUCAAGUCAGGGGUGAAAGCCCAGAGCUCAACUCUGGAACUGCCCUUGAGACUGAGGGACUUGGGUACGGGAGAGGUGAGUGGAAUUCCGAGUGUAGAGGUGAAAUUCGUAGAUAUUCGGAAGAACACCAGUGGCGAAGGCGGCUCACUGGUCCGGUACUGACGCUGAGGUGCGAAAGCGUGGGGAGCAAACAGG
Molecule: ribosomal RNA, 253 nt
Filed under: uncultured bacterium
Lineage: Bacteria
Description: partial 16S ribosomal RNA
Rfam family: Bacterial small subunit ribosomal RNA
Source: RNAcentral